AACCCAUGAUGUGGGCAUUGUCUGAGCAUACUAUUAUAUCUAUCCCAUGCUUCAAAAAGAGAUUCUGUAACACUCCUAGAAAGCCUAGAUAAGAAAGUAAGGAU
This is a small nucleolar RNA of Zingiber officinale, 104 nucleotides long. The record is from RefSeq and is a predicted model, not a curated record. NCBI's taxonomy places the organism in Eukaryota, Viridiplantae, Streptophyta, Magnoliopsida, Zingiberales, Zingiberaceae.